GGGCAGGGCUUGCUAUCUGUAAACAGCUGUGGCCGGCGCCCGGCAGGCACUGCCUGGCGGUGACCACGCGACUUUUCUUUGGGUUGUUGUGUGUGUAAAAUUCCUCUUCUAUGCCAUCUAAUGACAAUUUUCAGGCUCUCAGUCUUUUUUGCAUAGUUUCAUACUUCUGUCUUGUGGUCUAAUAUACGAGCUAUCCCGCUGAGAGUCAUCAUGUGCGGACUGCAAUUGCCGUAAAAAACAGUUGAGGAAAGCCUUGGAAGUUGAGAUCAUGUGACUUUAAUUGACUAGAUGUGAUGUGACAGACAUUGUGAAUACACCUUGAUUAGAUGGUGCAGUGACAUGAUGGUGCCUUGACAGUCAGCAUGAAUUUGCCUUAUCAGUCUGUACCAAUCUGUUUCGAUGGACAACAAUACCCUGUUGAGUGCACUUCUCCAAAUCUGCUAAAGACAUAACCACAUAAAGUUUUCUUGAUGAAUAAAUCUGCUUGAGUUGUACUUGACAAAUCCCUCAUUUGGAUGAAAUCAUACACAUGACUUGGAUUUAAGAAUGUAAAUCCGAUCAUCACGCGCUCGACUGUGUACAAGAAAAUCGUACAACGAAUGUAAAAAAUGUUCAGUUUCUUGCAGCGUCUCAUGCAAAAAUAUUUUCACGUUUUCCCUUUAUGUAUUUCCAAGCUCUAUAACAUAAUUACUACAAAAGCCCUUUCCCACUUGAGAAGCUUCCAGAACAUUCAAUUUCAUCUAAAUAACCUUCUUAGGACAACUAAUUUUCAGUUGUCAUAUUUAAAGUCAUACGUUCCCAUAUGUAUUCUGUGUCAGACACUGUAUGAUAUGAUAUUGUAAUAAAUCAGGAUCUCUCAGAACUUUUACUUUGUUAAAGAGUAUACAAUACCACUUAAAUAUCAGUGGAAGAAAUUUUGUUUGCAUGGCUGCAUGCCCUAAAUUUAAUGAACCACUUAAAUUCUAUCCAGAUGUGAACUGGUUUUCAAACCAAUAACUGUCAGUGUUCAUAGUUUUCCAGUCGUCAGCCGCAAUUUUUCCGAAAAUAUAAUUUGUUGUUAGUUAUCGACAUUUUCUCGUACUUCAAUCUUACACCAUGAAAGUUAGUUGUGAAAUAAUUAACAGCAAAUGCUCUAAAAACACAACUACAUUAAUUUUCCAAUUUUUACAUUUCAGUUUUAAAUACAUGCAAAUCUUACAUUUCUGUUUGGAGUUGUAUUUAUUUUACUAUUGGUAUGUAGUGGAUAUUACAACCUAACAGGAAAAAAAUGCCUCUGAGCACUAUGGGACUUAACAUCUUAGGUCAUCAGUCCCCUAAAACUUAGAACUACUUAAACCUAACUAACCUAAGGACAUCACACAUAUCCAUGCCCGAGGCAGGAUUCGAACCUGCAACCGUAGCAGUCCCACGGUUCCGGACUGCAGUGCCUAGAACUGCACGGUCACCGCGGCUGGCUCCUAACAGGAAGUUUCACGUUUUAAGAUCUACAAAUUUUGUAACCUUUGUUGUCAACUAUUAUUACUAAAUAUCUUCACAUAAAUAUGAAUGUCCAGGAGACAGUCUACAAACUAAAUCUGAUAUAUAAUCUAAAAAAUGGAGGUUACCUUAAUAUUAUUUUGACUUACAAAGUGUUCAGGAAUGUUUGAGAAACAAUUACAAGUCUUAUAUUACGUUUGUCUGCACCAAUUGCGUCAGACUCAGUCAGAUUGUUUCUCAGGCCAGGAGCAUUCAGCCUCAUUGAGUUCAAGUCAGACUCAUAUAUAUUUUUUUUGAUAUGGUUUGAGUUAACACAUAGAGAAAUUUUGCAAUAUGUGAUAAGCUCUAAGUUCUUUGUUUUUAUAUUUUCCUGCGACAUUGUGAAAAUACACAUGUGAAAUGUUAUGUGCAAUGAUGAAUAAACCACAUUUUGAAACUGAA
Schistocerca serialis cubense is the source of this 1917-nucleotide long non-coding RNA. RefSeq lists it as uncharacterized. The transcript has 2 exons. The record is from RefSeq and is a predicted model, not a curated record. Lineage: Eukaryota; Metazoa; Arthropoda; Insecta; Orthoptera; Acrididae.